CCCUACGGGACGCAGCAGUGAGGAAUAUUGGUCAAUGGGCGCAAGCCUGAACCAGCCAUCCCGCGUGCAGGAAGAAGGCGCUAUGCGUUGUAAACUGCUUUUCCAGGGGAAGAAAACCCGCUACGUGUAGCGGUUUGCCGGUACCUUGGGAAUAAGCAUCGGCUAACUCCGUGCCAGCAGCCGCGGUAAUACGGAGGAUGCGAGCGUUAUCCGGAUUUAUUGGGUUUAAAGGGUGCGUAGGCGGAUUGCUAAGUCAGUGGUGAAAACCUGCAGCUUAACUGUAGAAUUGCCGUUGAUACUGGUAGUCUUGAGUACGGUCAAGGUAGGCGGAAUGUGUAAUGUAGCGGUGAAAUGCUUAGAUAUUACACAGAACACCGAUUGCGAAGGCAGCUUACUGGGCCAUUACUGACGCUGAGGCACGAAAGCGUGGGGAGCGAACAGGAUUAGAUACCCCUGUAGUCCU
Molecule: ribosomal RNA, 463 nt
Filed under: uncultured bacterium
Lineage: Bacteria
Description: bacterial SSU rRNA
Rfam family: Bacterial small subunit ribosomal RNA
Source: RNAcentral